CGGGUGCACUGAUCCAGCCGGGCCUUUCCCUCUGUGGAACCCCAUGGCCUUCACUGGCUGUGGUGGGGAAACAGGACUUUUACUUUGAAAAAAUUAGAGUGCUCCAGGCAGGCCUAUGCUCGAAUACAUUAGCAUGGAAUAAUAGAAUAGGACGUGUGGUUCUAUUUUGUUGGUUUCUAGGGCCGCCGUAAUGAUUAAUAGGGACAGUCGGGGGCAUCAGUAUUCAAUUGUCAGAGGUGAAAUUCUUGGAUCUAUUGAAGACUAACUACUGCGAAAGCAUUUGCCAAGGAUGUUUUCAUUGAUAAGGAACGAAAGUUAGGGGAUCGAAGACGAUCAGAUACCGUCGUAGUCUUAACUAUAAACUAUGCCGACUAGGGAUCGGACGAUGUUAUUCUUUGACGCGUUCGGCACCUUUCGAGAAAUCAAAGUGCUUGGGCUCCAGGGGGAGUAUGGUCGCAAGGCUGAAACUUAAAGAAAUUGACGGAAGGGCACCACCAGGGGUGGAACCUGCGGCUUAAUUUGACUCAACACGGGGAAACUCACCAGGUCCAGACACAGUGAGGAUUGACAGAUUGAGAGCUCUUUCUUGAUUCUGUGGGUGGUGGUGCAUGGCCGUUCUUAGUUGGUGGAGUGAUUUGUCUGCUUAAUUGCGAUAACGAACGAGACCUUAACCUGCUAAAUAGCCCGUACUGCUUUGGCAGUUCGCCGGCUUCUUAGAGGGACUAUCGG
RNAcentral lists this ribosomal RNA (729 nucleotides) under uncultured eukaryote. Its description in RNAcentral is "SSU rRNA". It matches the Rfam family "Eukaryotic small subunit ribosomal RNA", at positions 670 to 1426 of the family's 1831-position model. The record is from RNAcentral.